This 21-nucleotide microRNA is filed under the name Limulus polyphemus (Atlantic horseshoe crab). Its description in RNAcentral is "Lpo-Mir-5735-P1_3p (mature (guide))". RNAcentral also lists the same sequence under 1 other name. The record is from RNAcentral. Lineage: Eukaryota; Metazoa; Arthropoda; Merostomata; Xiphosura; Limulidae.
UGGACAACAGGAUAAUGGCGU